This 777-nucleotide ribosomal RNA is filed under the name Lysinibacillus sp. HQ-1-87. Its description in RNAcentral is "bacterial SSU rRNA". It matches the Rfam family "Bacterial small subunit ribosomal RNA", at positions 37 to 790 of the family's 1533-position model. The record is from RNAcentral. Lineage: Bacteria; Bacillati; Bacillota; Bacilli; Caryophanales; Bacillaceae.
GGGCAGCGCGUGCUAACAUGCAGUCGAGCGAACAGAGAAGGAGCUUGCUCCUUUGACGUUAGCGGCGGACGGGUGAGUAACACGUGGGCAACCUACCCUAUAGUUUGGGAUAACUCCGGGAAACCGGGGCUAAUACCGAAUAAUCUAUGUCACCUCAUGGUGACAUACUGAAAGACGGCAUCUCGCUGUCGCUAUAGGAUGGGCCCGCGGCGCAUUAGCUAGUUGGUGAGGUAAUGGCUCACCAAGGCGACAAUGCGUAGCCGACCUGAGAGGGUGAUCGGCCACACUGGGACUGAGACACGGCCCAGACUCCUACGGGAGGCAGCAGUAGGGAAUCUUCCACAAUGGGCGAAAGCCUGAUGGAGCAACGCCGCGUGAGUGAAGAAGGUUUUCGGAUCGUAAAACUCUGUUGUAAGGGAAGAACAAGUACAGUAGUAACUGGCUGUACCUUGACGGUACCUUAUUAGAAAGCCACGGCUAACUACGUGCCAGCAGCCGCGGUAAUACGUAGGUGGCAAGCGUUGUCCGGAAUUAUUGGGCGUAAAGCGCGCGCAGGCGGUCCUUUAAGUCUGAUGUGAAAGCCCACGGCUCAACCGUGGAGGGUCAUUGGAAACUGGGGGACUUGAGUGCAGAAGAGGAAAGUGGAAUUCCAAGUGUAGCGGUGAAAUGCGUAGAGAUUUGGAGGAACACCAGUGGCGAAGGCGACUUUCUGGUCUGUAACUGACGCUGAGGCGCGAAAGCGUGGGGGAAAAAAAAGGGAAAAAAAAAGUGGGCGAG